GACGUAGGGCGCGAGCGUUGUCCGGAUUUAUUGGGCGUAAAGAGCUCGUAGGCGGCUUGUCGCGUCGACUGUGAAAACCCGCGGCUCAACCUCGGGUCUGCAGUGGGUACGGGCAGACUGGAGUGCGGUAGGGGAGAAUGGAAUUCCUGGUGUAGCGGUGGAAUGCGCAGAUAUCAGGAGGAACACCGAUGGCGAAGGCAGUUCUCUGGGCCGUAACUGACGCUGAGGAGCGAAAGCGUGGGGAGCGAACAGG
Molecule: ribosomal RNA, 253 nt
Filed under: uncultured bacterium
Lineage: Bacteria
Description: partial 16S ribosomal RNA
Rfam family: Bacterial small subunit ribosomal RNA
Source: RNAcentral